AAAACCAAAUUGGAAACAUAUUGAUAAAACUCAACAUGUAUAUCUCUUAGUAAGUAACAUAAAAUAACAGGUUCAUUGAGUCAGAUUUAAUAAAUUAAGUAUAUGAGUUAGUUUAACUAAGAAACAUGCGCCAACUGAUUUAAAAGUGCUUUGAUUCACUAAAAAGAACCGGCUCAGAAUCGGACUAGUCGCCCAUGGUUUUGAUUCCCUUCAUUUCUUAUUAAUUCUUGAUUCAUUUAAAUGACUUCUGAUUCGAGUCAUUUACUCGGUAGGGGACUUACUAAAAGAAAGUAAAAGAUGUACUAGAAAGAAAAUGGUCAUUUGCUCAGGAUUCGGACUUCGUUGGGCGCGCUGUAUGUUUCUGAUUCACUGAGAAAGAACCGGCUCACAAGACUCUUUCGCUUUGGAUUCGAACAGAGAUUCGUCACUGGUCGCUCGCGUCGUGUGUUGUUGAUUCGAGAAAAAAAAAAAAAAAAAAAGAAAGAAAAAAAAAAACCUUACUAGUCAAGAAAUCCGACUUCAAUGGUCGUUCUGUAAAUGGCAGAAAUAUAUUAGUUAGCAAGUAGGCUAUGAUGGUUCAGGUUUGAAUGGUCGCGCUGUAUGAUUAAUUAAAUAAACGAGUAACAUGGAUUUCACUGGACAUGGGCAUUAGCAACUAAUAUUACUGCAGAUACGUUAAUCGGUUGAGAACCUAACUAACGAAUGACUUUCAUGACGUUAGGUUCUAGCAUGAUUUAAAAUGGAAUGAAAAUGAUUCUGAAUACUAGCAUCAUGUGCUAACCAAACCUUGAAUGCUGUCAUGUGACCACUCAGGAGAACAGGACCAAUCCAAAACACCCAUUUUGGAGCAAGUUUUGCGUUUGGUUUUUACAAACAUCAUGAUGGUUGGCUGUAAUGGUGCUGGCAUGGCUCCAGUGUGAUUUGCUCCAUAAGGCAGCAUGAGAUUCCCAUCUCUCCCAGCUCAAUGCGGCUUGCUUGAAAUCCAAGAGCAGCUGUGGAGGUAUGUUUUGGGCUGCUUCAGCGGCAUGUGCCCAACGGCGUGUGUGUUCAGGCUGGCAUUAUUCACACCUUUAGAGAACAAUGUAUAAGGGCAGAGACUCUCAGAAAACUAGAUAUAAAGCCUUAUUAUGGAUGCUGGGCUAAAUUAUUGGAAUAUGAGUAUGUGGCCAUAAAUCAUAAAAAAAAUAUAUA
This is a long non-coding RNA of Cyprinus carpio (common carp), 1191 nucleotides long. RefSeq lists it as uncharacterized. The transcript has 3 exons. Lineage: Eukaryota; Metazoa; Chordata; Actinopteri; Cypriniformes; Cyprinidae. The record is from RefSeq and is a predicted model, not a curated record.